AACGUAGGGGGCGAGCGUUAUCCGGAUUCACUGGGCGUAAAGCGCGCGCAGGCGGCUUCUCAAGUCGGGCGUGAAAUCUCCCGGCUCAACCGGGAGGGGCCGCUCGAUACUGGGAGGCUUGAGGGCAGGAGAGGGAGGUGGAAUUCCCGGUGUAGCGGUGGAAUGCGCAGAUAUCGGGAGGAACACCAGUGGCGAAGGCGACCUCCUGGCCUGUCCCUGACGCUCAGGCGCGAAAGCUAGGGGAG
This 245-nucleotide ribosomal RNA is filed under the name uncultured bacterium. Its description in RNAcentral is "partial 16S ribosomal RNA". It matches the Rfam family "Bacterial small subunit ribosomal RNA", at positions 524 to 768 of the family's 1533-position model. The record is from RNAcentral.